GUCUAUUGUGGUGAAUCAUAGUAACUGAUCGGAUCCCCAACUGGGGAUAGAUCAUUCAAGUUUCUGCCCUAUCAGCUUUCGAUGGUAGUGUAUUGGACUACCAUGGCAGUAACGGGUAACGGAGAAUUAGGGUUCGGUUCCGGAGAGGGAGCCUGAGAAACGGCUACCACAUCUAAGGAAGGCAGCAGGCGCGUAAAUUACCCAAUGCAGAUUCUGCGAGGUAGUGACAAUACAUAACAACCUGGGGUCUCACGACUUACGGGAUUGCAAUGAGAACAAUUUAAAAACCUUAACGAGGAACAAGUGGAGGGCAAGUCUGGUGCCAGCAGCCGCGGUAAUUCCAGCUCCACUAGCGUAUAUUAAAGUUGUUGCAGUUAAAAAGCUCGUAGUUGAACUUCUGGUUGUGCGCCAGUGGUCGGUCAUCGAUCGCCCUGGGUGCAGCCAUCCGUCUGCAAACUUUUACAUCCUUAACUGGUUUGUCUAAGGGAGCAGGCAUUUUACUUUGAAAAAAUUAGAGUGUUUAAGGCAGGCACUAGCCGCUGAAUACAUUAGCAUGGAAUAAUGGAAUAGGACGCUUUGUCCAUUUGAUUGGUUAUUGGACUUGCGUAAUGAUUAAUAGGGACAGUUGGGGGCAUUAGUAUUUAAUUGUCAGAGGUGAAAUUCUUGGAUUUAUUAAAGACUAACUUAUGCGAAAGCAUUUGCCAAGGAUGUUUUCAUUAAUCAAGAACGAAAGUUAGGGGAUCAAAGACGAUCAGAUACCGUCCUAGUCUUAACUAUAAACUAUACCGACUCGGUUUCGGUGGGG
Molecule: ribosomal RNA, 805 nt
Filed under: Cyclidium glaucoma
Lineage: Eukaryota; Ciliophora; Oligohymenophorea; Pleuronematida; Cyclidiidae
Description: SSU rRNA
Rfam family: Eukaryotic small subunit ribosomal RNA
Source: RNAcentral